GUAAAGUUUUAUUCUUGCUUUUUCGUUCAAUUUAUGUUUGUUCUAUAUGUAAAUUUUUGUGUAUUUCUGCCUUAAGUUCUAGAUGGGUUUAGUUGGUAUUGGUUUAGAUUCUCAUUCUCAUUAGUUGUUAUUGGUUGGUUGAUUAUCUUCUUAUUCAGCAAUUCGUUUUAGUUCCGGUUAAAUUUUGUGCCAGCAACCGCGGUUAUACCUUGGGGGCAUUUGAAUGUGCUUGGCAUGUGGUAGUUGUAUUAUGUUUUGAUUUAUUUGAUCUUAUUUUAUUUUUUAUUAGGUGAAAUUUUUAUUGUUGUUGAGUUUCUUUUAUUUGUUUGGAGGCUAUGAAAUUCUUUCUGUAGACUAGGAUUAGAUACCCUAUUAUUUUGGAAUGUUAAUUAUUUUUGCUUGAGUAGUAUUAGUUAUGUUCUUGAAACUUAAAGAAUUUGGCGGUAUCUUAUUCCAUCCAGAGGAAUCUGCCCCGUUAUCGAUAGUCCGCGUUGGACCUUACUUAGUUGCUGUUGGUUUGUAUACCGCCGUCUAUUGAUUAUCUUUUUAGAGUUUAAUUUAAUUUUCUAGUUGUUUUAUUUUGAUUUAUUUCAGGUCAAGGUGCAGCUUGUUUCUAAGUGGCAAUGGUGGAUUACAUUGUUAUUUGUUUUAUUGGAUUGUUAAUUUUAAUAUUGACAUGAAAUUGGAUUUGGUUGUAAUGUCUUGUAGAUUGUUUUCAUGAUAAUUGGUUCUGAGAUAUGUACACAUCGCCCGUCGCUCUCGUUUAUUAUUUAAUGAGAUAAGUCGUAACAAAGUGGUUGUACCGGAAGGUGCGGCUGGAUUGAU
This 825-nucleotide non-coding RNA is filed under the name Apicotermes arquieri. The record is from RNAcentral. Lineage: Eukaryota; Metazoa; Arthropoda; Insecta; Blattodea; Termitidae.